Nannospalax galili (Upper Galilee mountains blind mole rat) is the source of this 896-nucleotide long non-coding RNA. RefSeq lists it as uncharacterized. NCBI's taxonomy places the organism in Eukaryota, Metazoa, Chordata, Mammalia, Rodentia, Spalacidae. The record is from RefSeq and is a predicted model, not a curated record. The transcript has 3 exons.
UUGUUAAGGGGCCCGGAGAGCAGUAGAUUGAGAGGUGGGCUAGAGCGGCCCCGCGCUGGCCUGUGAAGGCUCAGAGUGGUCUGACCGUGGGGAGCCGGGCAGGCAGCGGCUGGUUCGAACCGCGGCUUUAAAGGUUGUCACUAUGCAACUCUGGCUGUCCCAUGUAGACCAAACUGGCUUCAAACACAGAGCUAUGCCUGCCUGUGCCUCCUGACUACUGGAAUUAAAGGUCUGCACCACCACACCAGGCUUCAUAUUAACUUUUGAACAUAUGUGCUAAGACCUGAGUCAGCAUUUCCAGAAGAGUCUGUCAUCUUUCCUUCUUGACCCAUGACCUUAGUCUCAGCAUGCUCAGGAAUCUGCCCCAUGCAUACACUACAGUGCUUUCCUAUAUGGAUAUGUGUAAGCUCCCUGAGCCAGAGACCCAUCCAGUCAUUCUUUGGGAUGGAAAUAACCCCAGACCUGCUACAGACAAGGAAAAAGAUGGCUUGGUGGAAACUCUGCCACACCAGGACUCAUCCACUGCACCUUUCAGCUGCGUCUGGGCAACAAGCCCCACCUCAACCCCGGCUUCACCCAUCUGUGUGGGCAACAAGUAGUUUUGGAGUGGCACAGGAAUUGUUCUACACAUUCGAAUGUAGCAAUGAACAAAACUGUUCCUCUCUAGCAAUGGAGAAACUCAGGGAGGGGAAGUUAAAGAAUUUCAGUGUAAUGCUGUAAAGGAAGUCAAUUGCUGAUAAUGACUGAGUGGUGGUCAGCAAAGGCCUCUCUAAGAAGGUGACUUUCGGGGGCUGGAGAAAAGGCUCAGCAGUUAUGAGCAUUGGCUGCUUUAGCAGAUUUCCAAGCACAAUUUCCAGCACCCACAUGACAGCUAACAACCAUCCAUAAUUCCAGUU